AAGGUAACAAGUUUUUAUUUUAGUUGUGGUUCCAAAGGAAAGUAAUAGUUAUUAAAACCAUUGUGGCUUACUGAACAAUGCUUGAAGCAAUUGUAGGUGAUGAGUUGAUUGGCGAAGGAGACAGACAGGUAUAUCAUCUGGGAGAACUAUAUGGCAAAGGUUGCUAGUGCUACAUCUGGUUCGUUAAUGUCCAAUUCUCUUCAAAUUGGUGAGGCUGCUCUAAAGGUUGGUCCAAUGGUCAAAAGGAAGAGCCCAUCAGAACUAAGGGAAGAGCAAUUGAAGAGGAUAAAUGCUGUUGAGAUUGUAGAUGAAUCUCCAGCUCCAUUGUCUGGUUCAACGAAUAACACUAAUGAUAAUGGGCUUAAGAAACCAGA
This 374-nucleotide unclassified non-coding RNA is filed under the name Hevea brasiliensis (rubber tree). Lineage: Eukaryota; Viridiplantae; Streptophyta; Magnoliopsida; Malpighiales; Euphorbiaceae. The record is from RNAcentral.